This 377-nucleotide ribosomal RNA is filed under the name Bacillus cereus. RNAcentral's name for it is "bacterial LSU rRNA". It matches the Rfam family "Bacterial large subunit ribosomal RNA", at positions 480 to 860 of the family's 2925-position model. The record is from RNAcentral. Lineage: Bacteria; Bacillati; Bacillota; Bacilli; Caryophanales; Bacillaceae.
CUGACCGAUAGUGAACCAGUACCGUGAGGGAAAGGCGAAAAGACCCCCGGCGAGGGGAGUGAAAUAGAACCUGAAACCGUGUACGUACAAGCAGUGGGAGCCUCUUUAUGGGGUGACUGCGUACCUUUUGUAUAAUGGGUCAGCGACUUAUAUUCUGUAGCAAGGUUAACCGUAUAGGGGAGCCGUAGGGAAACCGAGUCUUAACUGGGCGUUAAGUUGCAGGGUAUAGACCCGAAACCCGGUGAUCUAGCCAUGGGCAGGUUGAAGGUUGGGUAACACUAACUGGAGGACCGAACCGACUAAUGUUGAAAAAUUAGCGGAUGACUUGUGGCUGGGGGUGAAAGGCCAAUCAAACCGGGAGAUAGCUGGUUCUCCCC